GCAACUAAAGCCAGCCAGCCUUGCUCAAGCCUGCAUGACCACAACCACAACCACAACCUACCAAGGUGCGCACUCCAUUUAUAACACAAGGAUGGUAACAGAUGAAAUUCAAAUGAAUAGAAUACGAAGACCGCAACAAAAGAGUUUUAUAAUUUGAUGCUAUUAUGUACAUAUUAACACUGAUUAUUGGACAUAUAUAUUCUGUCUGUUUCUUAUUUACAGUUUUCAACAGAAGAUGAUACCCCAACAUCACACUAUCCACAAUUCUGCAUUGC
RNAcentral lists this long non-coding RNA (275 nucleotides) under Actinidia chinensis (golden kiwifruit). RNAcentral describes it as "long non-coding RNA (ACHI_LNC004606)". Lineage: Eukaryota; Viridiplantae; Streptophyta; Magnoliopsida; Ericales; Actinidiaceae. The record is from RNAcentral.